This 253-nucleotide ribosomal RNA is filed under the name uncultured bacterium. RNAcentral's name for it is "partial 16S ribosomal RNA". It matches the Rfam family "Bacterial small subunit ribosomal RNA", at positions 524 to 776 of the family's 1533-position model. The record is from RNAcentral.
GACGAAGGAUGCAAGCGUUAUCCGGAUUCAUUGGGUUUAAAGGGUGCGUAGGCGGACUGAUAAGUCAGUGGUGAAAUCUCUUUGCUUAACAAAGAAACUGCCAUUGAUACUGUCGGUCUAGAGUAUAGAUGACGUUGGCGGAAUAUGACAUGUAGUGGUGAAAUACUUAGAUAUGUCAUAGAACACCGAUUGCGAAGGCAGCUAACGAAACUAUAACUGACACUGAGGCUCGAAAGUGCGGGGAUCAAACAGG